UACGUAGGUGACAAGCGUUGUCCGGAUUUACUGGGCGUAAAGAGCGCGCAGGCGGUCGUUCACGUCGAGUGUGAAAGCCCCCGGCUCAACUGGGGAGGGUCACUCGAUACUGAUCGACUCGAAGGCAGGAGAGGGUAGUGGAAUUCCCGGUGUAGUGGUGAAAUGCGUAGAUAUCGGGAGGAACACCAGUGGCGAAGGCGACUACCUGGCCUGUUCUUGACGCUGAGGCGCGAAAGCUAGGGGAGCAAACGGG
This 253-nucleotide ribosomal RNA is filed under the name uncultured bacterium. RNAcentral's name for it is "partial 16S ribosomal RNA". It matches the Rfam family "Bacterial small subunit ribosomal RNA", at positions 524 to 776 of the family's 1533-position model. The record is from RNAcentral.